AGGAUGCUACUGAAAUCAUACCUAUAGAUAUUGGACGUACUCACAGAAUAAGCACCGGCUAACUCCGUGCCAGCAGCCGCGGUAAUACAGAGGGUGCGAGCGUUAAUCGGAUUUACUGGGCGUAAAGCGUGCGUAGGCGGCUUAUUAAGUCGGAUGUGAAAUCCCCGAGCUUAACUUGGGAAUUGCAUUCGAUACUGGUGAGCUAGAGUAUGGGAGAGGAUGGUAGAAUUCCAGGUGUAGCGGUGAAAUGCGUAGAGAUCUGGAGGAAUACCGAUGGCGAAGGCAGCCAUCUGGCCUAAUACUGACGCUGAGGUACGAAAGCAUGGGGAGCAAACAGGAUUAGAUACCCUGGUAGUCCAUGCCGUAAACGAUGUCUACUAGCCGUUGGGGCCUUUGAGGCUAUAGUGGCGCAGCUAACGCGAUAAGUAGACCGCCUGGGGAGUACGGUCGCAAGACUAAAACUCAAAUGAAUUGACGGGGGCCCGCACAAGCGGUGGAGCAUGUGGUUUAAUUCGAUGCAACGCGAAGAAGCUUAUCUGGCCUUGACAUACUAGA
This 555-nucleotide ribosomal RNA is filed under the name uncultured bacterium. RNAcentral's name for it is "bacterial SSU rRNA". It matches the Rfam family "Bacterial small subunit ribosomal RNA", at positions 442 to 993 of the family's 1533-position model. The record is from RNAcentral.